Molecule: ribosomal RNA, 204 nt
Filed under: Staphylococcus nepalensis
Lineage: Bacteria; Bacillati; Bacillota; Bacilli; Caryophanales; Staphylococcaceae
Description: partial 16S ribosomal RNA
Rfam family: Bacterial small subunit ribosomal RNA
Source: RNAcentral
AGGAGCUUGCUCCUUUGACGUUAGCGGCGGACGGGUGAGUAACACGUGGGUAACCUACCUAUAAGACUGGAAUAACUCCGGGAAACCGGGGCUAAUGCUGGAUAAUAUUUAGAACCGCAUGGUUCUAAAGUGAAAGAUGGUUUUGCUAUCACUUAUAGAUGGACCCGCGCCGUAUUAGCAAGUUGGUGGGGUAAUGGCUUACCA